Dendroctonus ponderosae (mountain pine beetle) is the source of this 1097-nucleotide long non-coding RNA. RefSeq lists it as uncharacterized. The record is from RefSeq and is a predicted model, not a curated record. Lineage: Eukaryota; Metazoa; Arthropoda; Insecta; Coleoptera; Curculionidae. The transcript is spliced from 2 exons.
CUAUAACAGCGCCAGACAACACUUCCAUAGGAAUGGCGCCAAUUUUGAAUCACCUUGUAUAACUACAAGUUUGAUACGUUUCUGUAAGGUUUCAUGUUUAGCGGGUAUGUUGACAACUCUGGCGCUGGGUUUCUUCAUCAUCAUGGUUUCUGUCCGAAAAGUGGCAGUUUGUAAUUAAUUCGAAUAAAAAAGACGUUAUUCAGUUUGCAUAGAUUUAGAUCGCAUUUAAUUAACUAAUUGUGUUCAGAACGCCAUUGUAAAAAUAAGCUUUUAAGUGCCUACAUAGAUAUUGCACAUGAAGUGCAUGAACAUAUUUUUUACUUGUACUUUUUGGAAGUACAUUUUAGUCUGUACUUGUGUGAAAUGAAGUCAAAUGAUAAGUAGUGCCAAGGUAAGCUAUUAUGGAGGAGGUAUUUGUAAAGAACAGGCUCUUUCAACAUGGUCAAGUCUAAGAAGCCACGCAAAGAAAUUUCAUCCAGGAAACGUGGAUGAGUUAGCUCCGAAAAAGACUUAUAAUAUCUCUGUUAUCUGCGAUAAAUGCAAUAAAUCGUUCUCAGAUCAUUCCAGUUUGAGACAGAGUAUGUGAGAAAAUUUCACCCAGAUAAUUAUUAAGUUUAGAUAGCUGUCAAUGUAUGAAUGGAAUGUAUAUGUACAUGAGUAAUUCGAAAUAAUAAUUUUAAUUAGUUUAUACUCGUAUUGAAGUGUAAGAAGUUACUUAAAUUAGAUGAAAUGGAAGUUUUGUCGAAAUAUAAAUGUUUUUCUUACAAAUGCCCAGAAUGUCCAAAGCAAUUUUCCGGAGUGGCUAAUUUUAAUGCCCAUAAAAGGAUACUUCAGACGGCGAUAGUUUAUCCCUGUAGUCCCAACCAAUUAAAGUGUCCUUUGUGCAAAUAUACGAAGAUAAGUUUUAGUAAGUAAGAAAAGCAUGAAAUAGCUCCACUCGAAGCAUCACUGAAUGCCAUUAAAGUGGUUGGCAGUAGAUUUGUAUACGCCAGACAAUAAAAAGGUAGAUAAGCAAAGACGAAUCUUUUCAGCAAAAAAAAAUCGUAAAUGGAGAUCUCGGUUGAAGAAACCUAUUAGUAUGACUCAAAUGCAAAUUA